GACGAACGCUGGCGGCGUGCUUAACACAUGCAGGUCGAACGGAAAGGCCCUGCUUUUGUGGGGUGCUCGAGUGGCGAACGGGUGAGUAACACGUGAGUAACCUGCCCUUGACUUUGGGAUAACUUCAGGAAACUGGGGCUAAUACCGGAUAGGAGCUCCUGCUGCAUGGUGGGGGUUGGAAAGUUUCGGCGGUUGGGGAUGGACUCGCGGCUUAUCAGCUUGUUGGUGGGGUAGUGGCUGACCAAGGCUUUGACGGGUAGCCGGCCUGAGAGGGUGACCGGCCACAUUGGGACUGAGAGACGGCCCAGACUCCUACGGGAGGCAGCAGUGGGGAAUAUUGCACAAUGGGCGGAAGCCUGAUGCAGCAACGCCGCGUGCGGGAUGACGGCCUUCGGGUUGUAAACCGCUUUCGCCUGUGACGAAGCGUGAGUGACGGUAAUGGGUAAAGAAGCACCGGCUAACUACGUG
Molecule: ribosomal RNA, 468 nt
Filed under: uncultured bacterium
Lineage: Bacteria
Description: partial 16S ribosomal RNA
Rfam family: Bacterial small subunit ribosomal RNA
Source: RNAcentral